UGCUCCCUGAUGUUAGCGGCGGACGGGUGAGUAACACGUGGGUAACCUGCCUGUAAGACUGGGAUAACUCCGGGAAACCGGGGCUAAUACCGGAUGGUUGUUUGAACCGCAUGGUUCAGACAUAAAAGGUGGCUUCGGCUACCACUUACAGAUGGACCCGCGGCGCAUUAGCUAGUUGGUGAGGUAACGGCUCACCAAGGCGACGAUGCGUAGCCGACCUGAGAGGGUGAUCGGCCACACUGGGACUGAGACACGGCCCAGACUCCUACGGGAGGCAGCAGUAGGGAAUCUUCCGCAAUGGACGAAAGUCUGACGGAGCAACGCCGCGUGAGUGAUGAAGGUUUUCGGAUCGUAAAGCUCUGUUGUUAGGGAAGAACAAGUGCCGUUCAAAUAGGGCGGCACCUUGACGGUACCUAACCAGAAAGCCACGGCUAACUACGUGCCAGCAGCCGCGGUAAUACGUAGGUGGCAAGCGUUGUCCGGAAUUAUUGGGCGUAAAGGGCUCGCAGGCGGUUUCUUAAGUCUGAUGUGAAAGCCCCCGGCUCAACCGGGGAGGGUCAUUGGAAACUGGGGAACUUGAGUGCAGAAGAGGAGAGUGGAAUUCCACGUGUAGCGGUGAA
Molecule: ribosomal RNA, 620 nt
Filed under: Bacillus siamensis
Lineage: Bacteria; Bacillati; Bacillota; Bacilli; Caryophanales; Bacillaceae
Description: bacterial SSU rRNA
Rfam family: Bacterial small subunit ribosomal RNA
Source: RNAcentral